AAGACAACAUGACAAGAAUCAGGAAUAGCAACGUUAGCUCCUGUGCUGGGGACACAUGCCACCUAUUGAGGUUGUAGAAGAGCCUAAGAUAAUUCUGCCAGAAAGACAGGAAAGCUGCCUUUAUCAUUAUCUUUUGAGGGAGAUUUCUGAGUCUGCCACUGCUUGCAGGAAGACUGAUCCUGAAAGGUUUGUCCAUGUGGAUGUUAGUUGUGGUUGCACAGAUAUCCCCAAGCAUAAAAGCGUGAUGCAGCUCAGGAUCAAGGCAAUGUUUGCAAGCUGGAAUCAACCUGACACAAAGGCUGUGGUCAGGUGGAAUCAGAAUGAUGGGAAAACACUGAAAUGUAGAGUGAAAUAUUCUUUUAAUGAGAAAGAAGACUCUCGGGUAAGAGUUGAAGGCUUAUUUUAUUUUAUUUUUUCAUUAAUUUGAAUUGAGAUUCUUCAUGCCUUAGAUCUCAACCAACAUCCUUAUCUUAACUAGGAAACAAGACCCAGUAGAUCUCCACUUUGGCGAUGCUUCUUACCUAAAGUCUGUCUGAAGUGGAAGAAAAGAAGUGAAUGCAUCUGCUUGGCUUUCUUUUUUCCCAUCCAUUUUUUUGUUUUGCUCUUUUUGUUUACACAGGCUAAUGAUAAAUUAAUGGGAUAAACCAAAGGCCUUGCUGGAACAGCUGUAAACUCAAAGCAGGAAGUCAUUCAAAGCCUCCGAAACCUGGCUGUGAAACGCUGGAGGAGUUAAUGACGAAGAACCGAAUCCUCAGCUGGCACAAAUUGGCAUAGUUUGCUUGAAAUACAUGAGUUUCACUGAUUUACUGUAGUUAGGGAUGUGGCCUGAAGUGUCUCACUAUUCUGC
Molecule: long non-coding RNA, 847 nt
Filed under: Phasianus colchicus (ring-necked pheasant)
Lineage: Eukaryota; Metazoa; Chordata; Aves; Galliformes; Phasianidae
Description: lncRNA (ENSPCLG00000013050.1)
Source: RNAcentral